ACAGCAGCAGCCGCGGUAAUACGGAGGAUCCAAGCGUUAUCCGGAUUUAUUGGGUUUAAAGGGUGCGUAGGUGGCCUGUUAAGUCAGGGGUGAAGGACGGUAGCUUAACUAUCGCAGUGCCCUUGAUACUGAUGGGCUUGAAUGAACUAGAGGUAGGCGGAAUGUGACAAGUAGCGGUGAAAUGCAUAGAUAUGUCACAGAACACCAAUUGCGGAGGCAGCUUACUAUGGUUUUAUUGACGCUGAGGCACUAAAGCGUGGGGAUCAAACAGGAUUAGAUACCCGCGUAGUCCCUGUCUCUUAUAC
This 305-nucleotide ribosomal RNA is filed under the name uncultured bacterium. RNAcentral's name for it is "partial 16S ribosomal RNA". It matches the Rfam family "Bacterial small subunit ribosomal RNA", at positions 505 to 807 of the family's 1533-position model. The record is from RNAcentral.